RNAcentral lists this ribosomal RNA (253 nucleotides) under uncultured bacterium. Its description in RNAcentral is "partial 16S ribosomal RNA". It matches the Rfam family "Bacterial small subunit ribosomal RNA", at positions 524 to 776 of the family's 1533-position model. The record is from RNAcentral.
UACAGAGGGGGCAAGCGUUGUUCGGAAUUACUGGGCGUAAAGGGCGCGUAGGCGGCCUUCUAAGUCGAACGUGAAAUCCCCGGGCUCAACCCGGGAACUGCGUCCGAGACUGAAAGGCUUGAAUCCGGGAGAGGGAUGUGGAAUUCCAGGUGUGGCGGUGAAAUGCGUAGAUAUCUGGAGGAACAUCGGUGGCGAAGGCGGCAUCCUGGACCGGUAUUGACGCUGAGGCGCGAAAGCCAGGGGAGCAAACGGG